Molecule: ribosomal RNA, 492 nt
Filed under: uncultured bacterium
Lineage: Bacteria
Description: partial 16S ribosomal RNA
Rfam family: Bacterial small subunit ribosomal RNA
Source: RNAcentral
AGUGAACGCUAGCGGUAGGCCUAACACAUGCAAGUCGGACGGCAGCACAGUAAGAGCUUGCUCUUACGGGUGGCGAGUGGCGGACGGGUGAGGAAUACAUCGGAAUCUACUUUUUCGUGGGGGAUAACGUAGGGAAACUUACGCUAAUACCGCAUACGACCUACGGGUGAAAGCAGGGGAUCUUCGGACCUUGCGCGAUUGAAUGAGCCGAUGUCGGAUUAGCUAGUUGGCGGGGUAAAGGCCCACCAAGGCGACGAUCCGUAGCUGGUCUGAGAGGAUGAUCAGCCACACUGGAACUGAGACACGGUCCAGACUCCUACGGGAGGCAGCAGUGGGGAAUAUUGGACAAUGGGCGCAAGCCUGAUCCAGCCAUACCGCGUGGGUGAAGAAGGCCUUCGGGUUGUAAAGCCCUUUUGUUGGGAAAGAAAAGCAGCAGGUUAAUACCCCGCUGUUCUGACGGUACCCAAAGAAUAAGCACCGGCUAACUUCGUG